Molecule: ribosomal RNA, 401 nt
Filed under: uncultured bacterium
Lineage: Bacteria
Description: bacterial SSU rRNA
Rfam family: Bacterial small subunit ribosomal RNA
Source: RNAcentral
GACGAACGCUGGCGGCAUGCCUAAUACAUGCAAGUCGAGCGAACAGAUGAAGUGCUUACACUUCUGACGUUAGCGGCGAACGGGUGAGUAACACGUAAGGAAUCUACCUAUAAGCGGGGGAUAACAUUCGGAAACGGGUGCUAAUACCGCAUAAUAUCUUCUUCCGCAUGGAAGAAGAUUGAAAGACGGCUCUGCUGUCACUUAUAGAUGACCUUGCGGUGCAUUAGUUAGUUGGUGGGGUAAUGGCCUACCAAGACGAUGAUGCAUAGCCGACCUGAGAGGGUGAUCGGCCACAUUGGGACUGAGACACGGCCCAAACUCCUACGGGAGGCAGCAGUAGGGAAUCUUCCGCAAUGGGCGAAAGCCUGACGGAGCAAUGCCGCGUGAGUGAAGAAGGCCUU